AGUGAACGCUGGCGGUAGGCCUAACACAUGCAAGUCGAACGGCAGCACAGUAAGAGCUUGCUCUUACGGGUGGCGAGUGGCGGACGGGUGAGGAAUACAUCGGAAUCUACUUUUUCGUGGGGGAUAACGUAGGGAAACUUACGCUAAUACCGCAUACGACCUACGGGUGGAAGCAGGGGAUCUUCGGACCUUGCGCGAUUGAAUGGGCCGAUGUCGGAUUAGCUAGUUGGCGGGGUAAAGGCCCACCAAGGCGACGAUCCGUAGCUGGUCUGAGAGGAUGAUCAGCCACACUGGAACUGAGACACGGUCCAGACUCCUACGGGAGGCAGCAGUGGGGAAUAUUGGACAAUGGGCGCAAGCCUGAUCCAGCCAUACCGCGUGGGUGAAGAAGGCCUUCGGGUUGUAAAGCCCUUUUGUUGGGAAAGAAAAGCAGCAGGUUAAUACCCCGCUGUUCUGACGGUACCCAAAGAAUAAGCACCGGCUAACUUCGUG
RNAcentral lists this ribosomal RNA (492 nucleotides) under uncultured bacterium. RNAcentral's name for it is "partial 16S ribosomal RNA". It matches the Rfam family "Bacterial small subunit ribosomal RNA", at positions 29 to 507 of the family's 1533-position model. The record is from RNAcentral.